AUUGAACGCUGGCGGAAUGCUUUACACAUGCAAGUCGAGCGGCAGCGCGGGGGCAACCCUGGCGGCGAGCGGCGAACGGGUGAGUAACAUAUCGGAACGUACCCAGUCGUGGGGGAUAACUAUCCGAAAGGAUAACUAAUACCGCAUACGUCCUGAGGGAGAAAGCGGGGGAUCGCAAGACCUCGCGCGAUUGGAGCGGCCGAUAUCGGAUUAGCUAGUUGGUGGGGUAAAGGCUCACCAAGGCGACGAUCUGUAGCGGGUCUGAGAGGAUGAUCCGCCACACUGGAACUGAGACACGGUCCAGACUCCUACGGGAGGCAGCAGUGGGGAAUUUUGGACAAUGGGCGCAAGCCUGAUCCAGCCAUGCCGCGUGAGUGAAGAAGGCC
RNAcentral lists this ribosomal RNA (386 nucleotides) under uncultured bacterium. Its description in RNAcentral is "bacterial SSU rRNA". It matches the Rfam family "Bacterial small subunit ribosomal RNA", at positions 29 to 416 of the family's 1533-position model. The record is from RNAcentral.